GUGAUGGCAAGACAAGACAAAAUAUUUUAUUUCCUCAGACACAAACGUGUACAAGAGGUCAAAACAUAAUAAAGUAUACAUAUAAAUCGAUCGUGAUGUGUUUGUACAUCUUACUUUACUAAACAUUCUUACUGCUUACAAUUAUCUCUAUCUAUAAUGAACUUGGCCCAGUAGUUUCAGUUGAAAAUGUUAGUAAAAAUUUUCAAAUUUUAUGAAAAUUGUUAAAAAUUGACUAUAAAGGAC
This 243-nucleotide long non-coding RNA is filed under the name Mytilus galloprovincialis (Mediterranean mussel). The record is from RNAcentral. Lineage: Eukaryota; Metazoa; Mollusca; Bivalvia; Mytilida; Mytilidae.